AACGAACGCUGGCGGCAGGCCUAACACAUGCAAGUCGAACGCCCCGCAAGGGGAGUGGCGCACGGGUGAGUAACGCGUGGGAAUAUGCCCUUCGGUUCGGAAUAACACAGGGAAACUUGUGCUAAUACCGGAUACGAUCUACGGAUGAAAGAUUUAUCGCCGAGGGAGUAGCCCGCGUAGGAUUAGCUAGUUGGUGAGGUAAUGGCUCACCAAGGCGACGAGCCUUAGCUGGUCUGAGAGGAUGAUCAGCCACACUGGGACCGAGACACGGCCCAGACUCCUACGGGAGGCAGCAGUGGGGAAUAUUGGACAAUGGGCGAAAGCCUGAUCCAGCCAUGCCGCGUGAGUGAUGAAGGCCUUAGGGUUGUAAAGCUCUUUCGCCAGGGAAGAUAAUGACGGUACCUGGAAAAGAAGCCUCGGCUAACUCCGUGCCAGCCGCCGCCGUAA
RNAcentral lists this ribosomal RNA (447 nucleotides) under uncultured bacterium. RNAcentral's name for it is "partial 16S ribosomal RNA". It matches the Rfam family "Bacterial small subunit ribosomal RNA", at positions 29 to 523 of the family's 1533-position model. The record is from RNAcentral.